This 465-nucleotide ribosomal RNA is filed under the name Vreelandella stevensii. RNAcentral's name for it is "partial 16S ribosomal RNA". It matches the Rfam family "Bacterial small subunit ribosomal RNA", at positions 338 to 795 of the family's 1533-position model. Lineage: Bacteria; Pseudomonadati; Pseudomonadota; Gammaproteobacteria; Oceanospirillales; Halomonadaceae. The record is from RNAcentral.
CCUACGGGGGGCAGCAGUGGGGAAUAUUGGACAAUGGGGGGAACCCUGAUCCAGCCAUGCCGCGUGUGUGAAGAAGGCCCUCGGGUUGUAAAGCACUUUCAGGGAGGAAGAACGCCUGGUGGUUAAUACCCAUCAGGAAAGACAUCACUCACAGAAGAAGCACCGGCUAACUCCGUGCCAGCAGCCGCGGGAAUACGGAGGGUGCGAGCGUUAAUCGGAAUUACUGGGCGUAAAGCGCGCGUAGGUGGCUUGAUAAGCCGGUUGUGAAAGCCCCGGGCUCAACCUGGGAACGGCAUCCGGAACUGUCAAGCUAGAGUGCAGGAGAGGAAGGUAGAAUUCCCGGUGUAGCGGUGAAAUGCGUAGAGAUCGGGAGGAAUACCAGUGGCGAAGGCGGCCUUCUGGACUGACACUGACACUGAGGUGCGAAAGCGUGGGUAGCAAACAGGAUUAGAUACCCGUGUAGUC